RNAcentral lists this ribosomal RNA (374 nucleotides) under uncultured bacterium. RNAcentral describes it as "bacterial SSU rRNA". It matches the Rfam family "Bacterial small subunit ribosomal RNA", at positions 30 to 413 of the family's 1533-position model. The record is from RNAcentral.
CCUGAACGCUGGCGGCGUGGCUAAGACAUGCAAGUCGCACGGACCCGCAAGGGUUAGUGGCGAACGGGUGAGUAAUGAAUCGCUAAUGUGCCCCGGACUCUGGGAUAGCCUUCCGAAAGGGAGGGUAAUACCAGAUGAUAUAACUUUGUCGCAUGACAGAGUUCUCAAAGGUCCGCCGGUCUGGGAGCAGGCGAUUUCGUAUCAGCUAGUUGGUGAGGUAACGGCNCACCAAGGCGACGACGCGUAGCCGGACUGAGAGGUUGGCCGGCCACAUUGGGACUGAGACACUGCCCAGACUCCUACGGGGGGCUGCAGUAACGAAUCUUCCGCAAUGUACGAAAGUAUGACGGAGCGACGCCGCGUGUAGGACGAAG